UACGUAGGGGGCGAGCGUUAUCCGGAAUUAUUGGGCGUAAAGGGCACGCAGGCGGUCCUGCACGUGGUGGGUGACAGCUCCUGGCUUAACUAGGAGAGAGCCUUCCAAACGGCAGGACUUGAGAGCGAGAGAGGGAGACGGAACUCCAGGUGAAGCAGUGAAAUGCGUAGAGAUCUGGAAGAACACCAAAGGCGAAGGCAGUCUCCUGGCUCGUCUCUGACGCUCAGGCGAGAAAGCUAGGGGAG
RNAcentral lists this ribosomal RNA (245 nucleotides) under uncultured bacterium. RNAcentral's name for it is "partial 16S ribosomal RNA". It matches the Rfam family "Bacterial small subunit ribosomal RNA", at positions 524 to 768 of the family's 1533-position model. The record is from RNAcentral.